GUGCCAGCAGCCGCGGUAAAACGUAGGACGCAAGCGUUAUCCGGAGUUACUGGGCGUAAAGCGCGGGCAGGCGGCCUGGAAAGUCUGAUGUGAAAGCGCCCGGCUCAACCGGGCGAGGCCAUUGGAAACUAGCAGGCUGGAGGGCAGUAGAGGCAGGCGGAAUUCCGGGUGGAGUGGUGAAAUGCGUAGAGAUCCGGAGGAACACCAGAGGCGAAGGCGGCCUGCUGGGCUGCACCUGACGCUGAGCCGCGAAAGCCAGGGGAGCGAACGGGAUUAGAAACCCCCGUAGUCC
This 292-nucleotide ribosomal RNA is filed under the name uncultured bacterium. RNAcentral describes it as "partial 16S ribosomal RNA". It matches the Rfam family "Bacterial small subunit ribosomal RNA", at positions 505 to 796 of the family's 1533-position model. The record is from RNAcentral.